CAGCAAUGUGUUUCUCAAACUGAGAAAAUCCUGAAGAGCUUGAUGGACGAUAACCAGCCACUAGUGGGUCUGCAAGAGGGUACUGAACUAAAAUCCUCAGAUUGGAAUUUGCUGUGCUAA
RNAcentral lists this long non-coding RNA (120 nucleotides) under Rhinopithecus roxellana (golden snub-nosed monkey). RNAcentral's name for it is "lncRNA (ENSRROG00000046080.1)". Lineage: Eukaryota; Metazoa; Chordata; Mammalia; Primates; Cercopithecidae. The record is from RNAcentral.